CUGGCAACACUAUAUUUUGUAACAGGUCUUCUGGCUCCAGUCUGUGUUCUGUGAAGGAUAUAGCAAUUAUAAUAUUCUUUUUUUUCCCACUGCACUUUGAGCAGAAUAUAUUCUUCUACCAUUUGCAGACUCAAUUGUCUCCUCCUGCCUUUUUAUGAACAAGGUAUCGAGAUUACCUGCCCAGCAACACUAUCUCCGUAUACAACCAAUCUCAAAGAAAUCUGGCUUACAGUUUUACUGGUCCCACCAUUGUGUGACUCAUCUGCCUGGAUCCCAAGUUCCCAAGGAAAAAUGUCUGCUUCUAGCUGAGGCCCUCUUUCCUCAGGAUAAGCUCUCAAUAAAAAACCCUGAAUUCUAGUCCCUUUCAAUGUAGAUUAUAAAUUGUCUUCAUUUUAGAAUUAUAUAUGUGCUAGAAUAAUAGUGGUAGUUUCAUACUUAUGAAACAUUUUCUACAUACCAGCUAUAGCUGAUUUAAUCCUCACAACAAAUCCAUGAGCUAGAUAUUGGUACUGUUAGUAUUCCCACUUGCAGAUAAGGAAAUUGAGGCACAGUGGAAAAGCUAAAUAACCUGAUUAUACUAAACUCGAUUUGAAUCUAGGCAACUGAGUUCUUGACCUAUAGACUAUUGUCUCUAAAUAUAUACAUUCCCAAACUUUUGAAAUAUUGGAAGAUUAAAAGAUAGUAUUUUUUCCUAUCUCUUCCAUAUUAUAAUGGAC
RNAcentral lists this long non-coding RNA (716 nucleotides) under Capra hircus (goat). Its description in RNAcentral is "lncRNA (ENSCHIG00000007915.1)". The record is from RNAcentral. Lineage: Eukaryota; Metazoa; Chordata; Mammalia; Artiodactyla; Bovidae.